This 998-nucleotide small RNA is filed under the name Pan troglodytes (chimpanzee). RNAcentral describes it as "retained intron". The record is from RNAcentral. Lineage: Eukaryota; Metazoa; Chordata; Mammalia; Primates; Hominidae.
CUUGGUUCAGGGCUCAGUUCAGCGCUCCCUGAACUGUCUGAGGAGCUGGAGUUGCUCCCUCCGCAGGCGCGUUUCUGUCUGCAGGUUUAUCCUGUUCAGUAGGUCAGGGUUUGUUACUGACAACCAUGACCUGCUGUGAGCCCUUCUGCGAGUGUGGAGCUGGGGGGCAGGAAGGGCAGCCUUAGCUGUGCCGACGCUUCGUCCUGUCAGGGCAUUUGCACGCCAAAGGCAAAGAAGAAAAAAUGUCCAAAUCAUUAAAGAACUACAUUACUAUUAAGCCAUCGACUACAGUGACAGCGCCAUGCUCCAAGCUCAGCAGCUGCUCCUGGGGCUGGGCUCUUUCCUGGAGGAUGCACGUGCCUACAUGAAGGGGCAGCUGGCCUGCGGCUCCGUCAGGGAAGCGAUGCUGUGGGAGAGGUAAGAGGCCCGCCUAGCACCCGGCGUGGCACCCCUCCUGUGGCCUGCUGGGUGCUGCUGGUGGGCUCCUGAAGGGGAAGAGGGGCCCCCAGGAGACAGGGCGCUGGACAGGAGGUGUGGGGUCAGGGACUGCCCAGAGAGGCCCCAGGAGACAGGGUGCUGGGCAGGAGGUGCAGGUGUGGGGUCAGGGGCUCCCCAGAGGCCACAGGACACUGGGUGCUGGACAGGAGGUGUGGGGUCAGGGGCUCCCGAGACAUCCCAGGGAGACGGCGCUGGGCAGGAAGUGUGCCUGGGGCCCUCGGGCUCUGAGCCUCCUGCUCAGAGUGGCUUUGGGCUCGGGUUCCCUGUGCGAGGAGCGGAGCUGCUCAUCCCUCCCAGUCCUGACGGUGAGGAGCCAAAAUCUAUAAAACACACAGGCCUGGGCCCACAGCAUCGCCUCCACUCCCCACCCACGGGUGUCCUGGGCAGCGCUGCACAUUCAUCCCGGCGUGCAGAGUCUUCCGGAUAGUCUUGGUGAUAACCCACCCCUGCCGCUUCAGCAGGGUAGGCAGCCAGUGGCCACGGGAGGCUGAGAUCCGGGA